AAGCACCCGAUACUAGCCUGACAGCCCAGUAACCCUCACCAGGGUUUUUAAAUGGCUGCUUGGGUUUGAACGGUGCAAAAAUAUAUGAUCAGCCAUGAGAUUUAAGCUUUUCAGUGAAAGGCAACACUGUGAGGUUAUUACUCAGAGGCACAUAU
This is a non-coding RNA of Boleophthalmus pectinirostris (great blue-spotted mudskipper), 155 nucleotides long. RefSeq annotates it as small Cajal body-specific RNA 1. The transcript has a single exon. NCBI's taxonomy places the organism in Eukaryota, Metazoa, Chordata, Actinopteri, Gobiiformes, Gobiidae. The record is from RefSeq and is a predicted model, not a curated record.